Labrus bergylta (ballan wrasse) is the source of this 173-nucleotide non-coding RNA. The record is from RefSeq and is a predicted model, not a curated record. Lineage: Eukaryota; Metazoa; Chordata; Actinopteri; Labriformes; Labridae.
CUCUGAUUCCCUGACUCUGUGGCUGAGGUGGAAGAAAACUGUGAACUCCACCACUGAACCAGACGAACCUGCAGAGAUGAUCGAGUUAAACUUCGUGUAUGAGAACGUGUCGGCCGUCACUGCAGCACAGACAGAAGCUGGAGAGGAGAGGAGAGGAGAGGAGAGGAGAGGAG